This 66-nucleotide transfer RNA is filed under the name Neotoma lepida (desert woodrat). It matches the Rfam family "tRNA". From Rfam's summary of the family: Transfer RNA (tRNA) molecules are approximately 80 nucleotides in length. Their secondary structure includes four short double-helical elements and three loops (D, anti-codon, and T loops). Lineage: Eukaryota; Metazoa; Chordata; Mammalia; Rodentia; Cricetidae. The record is from Rfam by way of RNAcentral.
UGGGGUGUAGCUUAGAGUGUUUGCCUCUCAUGCACAAGGGCCUGGGUUCAAUCCCCAGUACCACAA